Long non-coding RNA from Gambusia affinis (western mosquitofish), 1648 nucleotides. RefSeq lists it as uncharacterized. The record is from RefSeq and is a predicted model, not a curated record. The transcript is spliced from 3 exons. Lineage: Eukaryota; Metazoa; Chordata; Actinopteri; Cyprinodontiformes; Poeciliidae.
AAGAAGAAGAAGAAGAUCUUCGGUCUGGGAUAGCUUGUGGUGGACAGGGACGUGCAGGCCAGGUCUUCAUUAGAUGGCGAGCUACCACUAGGCCUGUGGCCCAAAGAACCGGAAGUUGAGCUGCUGGAUCUCCAUGUUUCUGGACUCAACUCGAGUCAGAGGGUCCAGGAAGUGGAAGAUAAAUUGCAAGCAUGGAGCAGGACGAGCAUGGCUGAUGUUGUGACUGGUGCUCUGUUGAGUAAAUGUGGCUCACACCUUCGUUUGGAGUUUGCAGGUUUCAAACGUGUGUCUUCCCUUGCACUGCAUGGACAAAGCUGCUACCACGUGCAUCCAAUGAAUCACUUCAGCCUGAUGCGUCCUUUUAUUACAGCCAGUUUCCUUCAAAAUAAACAUCUUUGAAAUGAAAUUAUUCAUAAAUAUUACAACAUUUCACAGUGGUAUUGGCUCAAAUUGCUCAACUUCGUAACUGAUACGAAGUUGAGCACCUAUCCAUUGUUGUUUUUUCCUGUAUUCCCAUAUGUGAUGUCAUUGUUUUUCCAAUUGUUUUUUUUUUUUCAAGUUGGGAAUGUUUGGUCACAUUAAACCCCCUUCAUUAGUCAACACCAGAUAUUUGUUUUAAUACCGUAUCUUUGCAGCACUUUCUUUUUAAUAAACCUGCUCUGCUUUUUUUUUUUUUUUUUACCAAUUUAUUAGAAUAAAUAUGUCUUUGUUUCUUGGAGAUUGCACAUAUGUUAGUUGAAGUGAGCAUAUUGUCUUUAGGUGUUUGAUCAAACAUCGCAGGAAAAGCCCUGGAUAACAAGAAUGUUACUCAUGAAAUUGAAUCUUAGAAUAUGUCUGAAUGUCAUUCUUUCUAGUUUUCAAUACUUCCCCAUCUUGCUUCUUUGUAGGCACACACGCCUUCAUGCCUCUCCUUUCUCGUCCGACAUUGCCUCUCGCAAGGAAGUCCGUCUACUUCAGGCAUAUUUUCUUACAGCCCAGCAAAUAUCAAUAGCAUCUGGAUGAUAUUUACUGGUGUGGGGAAGAUGAAUGUCCUGCUCUAAAUGCUUCAACCUCAUUGCCUUUUGGAAUAUUAGUCAUGUAAACAGCGUCUGCUUAUUAAUGGUAAAAGCUUUUCCUAAUGAUCCACACCUCACAUGAGCCUGAAAUAUCAAGUCAGGAUAUAAAGAGCAGCCAUAGAUCAUCAUAAUGAAUGAUGGGAGGCUGGCGGAAGGCUGGGGGAGGAGACCCGUCUCCAUACUAAUUCACUCACUAGUUCCCUUCUUGACUCAUAUGCUUUUUGGUCAUAAUACAUCAAGGCUGUAUGAUUCUUCCAUUAAUGCAGCGAGCUUUGCCUUCACUCUGCUGAUGAUGAUUUGUCAGCAUUAUAGAGCACUUAUAAACCUGAAGAUUUCUUUCAGGUCUAAAGGAAGAAGACGUACAAGUCGCUGUGGUUGCUCGCAAGGUUGAAAUUGCAAUCUGACGUGCUGUUUACACGUCGAGUUAUUCUGCCGCCUGAAAUGAACUCCACAAGGAAUGGAAAUAAUUUACAAACCUAAUCAAAUGUGUUCAAAAGAAGCAGUAUGUGUCUUUUAACGAGCGCUUUGAUAUCAAUCUGACACAGUCUCCUGAGAGGAACCAUCAAAGCCCUGUUACUUUUUAUCAUGCUGGA